CCUACGGGCGGCAGCAGUGAGGAAUAUUGGUCAAUGGGCGGAAGCCUGAACCAGCCAAGUAGCGUGCGGGAUGAAUGCCCUACGGGUUGUAAACCGCUUUUGCACGGGGAUAACACCCUCCACGUGUGGAGUUCUGCAGGUACCGUGCGAAUAAGGGCCGGCUAAUUCCGUGCCAGCAGCCGCGGUAAUACGGAAGGCCCGAGCGUUAUCCGGGUUCAUUGGGGUUAAAGGGAGCGUAGGCGGGCGUUCAAGUCAGCUGUAAAAUCGUGCGGCUCAACCGCGCCCCGCAGUUGAAACUGGGCGCCUUGAGUUCACAACAGGCAGGCGGAAUUCGUGGUGUAGCGGUGAAAUGCAUAGAUAUCACGAGGAACCCCGAUUGCGAAGGCAGCCUGCCGGGGUGCGACUGACGCUGAGGCUCGAAGGUGCGGGUAUCAAACAGGAUUAGAUACCCGAGUAGUC
Molecule: ribosomal RNA, 459 nt
Filed under: uncultured bacterium
Lineage: Bacteria
Description: partial 16S ribosomal RNA
Rfam family: Bacterial small subunit ribosomal RNA
Source: RNAcentral